GUUGAACGCUGGCGGAAUGCUUUACACAUGCAAGUCGAACGGCAGCACGGGGGCAACCCUGGUGGCGAGUGGCGAACGGGUGAGUAAUACAUCGGAACGUGCCCAGUCGUGGGGGAUAACGUAGCGAAAGCUACGCUAAUACCGCAUACGAUCUACGGAUGAAAGCGGGGGAUCGCAAGACCUCGCGCGAUUGGAGCGGCCGAUGGCAGAUUAGGUAGUUGGUGGGGUAAAGGCUCACCAAGCCUUCGAUCUGUAGCUGGUCUGAGAGGACGACCAGCCACACUGGGACUGAGACACGGCCCAGACUCCUACGGGAGGCAGCAGUGGGGAAUUUUGGACAAUGGGCGAAAGCCUGAUCCAGCCAUUCCGCGUGCAGGAUGAAGGCCCUCGGGUUGUAAACUGCUUUUGUACGGAACGAAACGGCCUUUUCUAAUACAGAGGGCUAAUGACGGUACCGUAAGAAUAAGCACCGGCUAACUACGUG
Molecule: ribosomal RNA, 484 nt
Filed under: uncultured bacterium
Lineage: Bacteria
Description: bacterial SSU rRNA
Rfam family: Bacterial small subunit ribosomal RNA
Source: RNAcentral